GUGAGGAAUAUUGGUCAAUGGACGAGAGUCUGAACCAGCCAAGUCGCGUGAAGGAAGACGGUUCUAUGAAUUGUAAACUUCUUUUGUGCAGGAAUAAAGUGGGUUACGUGUAACCUUUUGUAUGUACUGUACGAAUAAGGAUCGGCUAACUCCGUGCCAGCAGCCGCGGUAAUACGGAGGAUCCGAGCGUUAUCCGGAUUUAUUGGGUUUAAAGGGUGCGCAGGCGGGUUGAUAAGUCAGCGGUGAAAGUUUGCAGCUUAACUGUAAAAUUGCCGUUGAAACUGUCGAUCUUGAGUGCAAAUGAGGUAAGCGGAAUGUGUUGUGUAGCGGUGAAAUGCUUAGAUAUAACACAGAACUCCGAUUGCGAAGGCAGCUUACUGGGAUGCAACUGACACUGAUGCACGAAAGCGUGGGUAUCAAACAGGAUUAGAUACCCCGGUAGUCC
Molecule: ribosomal RNA, 445 nt
Filed under: uncultured bacterium
Lineage: Bacteria
Description: partial 16S ribosomal RNA
Rfam family: Bacterial small subunit ribosomal RNA
Source: RNAcentral